Molecule: non-coding RNA, 509 nt
Organism: Paramuricea clavata
Lineage: Eukaryota; Metazoa; Cnidaria; Anthozoa; Malacalcyonacea; Plexauridae
Source: the annotation of a GenBank genome assembly
UUCCUGGCAGUAGUGCUGGCCUUAUAUAUAUGUUGGAGUUCCUUUAAACCAUUGAGCACCAGUGCUCUCCCCUUGACAAGUUAGACGGAGUAAAGUAGUAAAGUAGGGCAGGACACAAUUUUAAUAUGGGUUAACUUCGGUAUCAUACUGGCCCCUUGUGUGUGUUAUAAAUUCUAUUCGCAAGAUUAUUCCUUUGCUGGUAUUAAAAUGGAACUGUAUACAGUACUUUUGUUUCAAAUUUUUAUUUGUAUACAUAUGUGUGAACAUUGCUAUUGGUUGUUUCAUCUUUUCUCUCUUUUUCUUUCAAACAAUCCAACUAUGGAAGCUUUUUCCAGAGGAAAGUCAAUGCGUGACGCACAUUAUGCAAGACCUUCCUCGCUUGGUUGACCACAAAUCAACCUUCCCUUAAAAACUUCCCUCGCAUUCGUACAUUCCACCUUAUUUACUAAAAUGCUCUUUUCAAUUUGUUUUCCUGUUAUUCAAAUAUUCAACAGUGUGUUAGGUAUGGG